RNAcentral lists this ribosomal RNA (231 nucleotides) under Triticum aestivum (bread wheat). Its description in RNAcentral is "partial small subunit ribosomal RNA". Lineage: Eukaryota; Viridiplantae; Streptophyta; Magnoliopsida; Poales; Poaceae. The record is from RNAcentral.
CUGCUUCUACUUUCUGUAUGGAGCUGGGAGCGUCUGCCUGUUGGACGCCCGAAGAGCGUCAGGUUUGAUCCUUGGUAUGCAGAUGAACAUGACGAAUUACGGUGCCCCACGUGGGCUUACAAGUGGGAUAUCGUUUCCGAGAUGACGAACGAUGUCAAUCUCAUGUACCAAAAGUACAUUGCCGAAUUGGACACGAUUACGCCUGAGCAGGUAAGGAGGUCAUUACUUUAG